Molecule: long non-coding RNA, 121 nt
Organism: Thamnophis elegans (Western terrestrial garter snake)
Lineage: Eukaryota; Metazoa; Chordata; Lepidosauria; Squamata; Natricidae
Exons: 2
Source: RefSeq, a predicted model, not a curated record
UUUUUUUCUUGCCUAGCAGCCAUGUCGUGCCAGGUUUGCUUCUUCUGUUACUUCUGGCUAAGAAAAUCCCUGAUGAGAAAUGAAGCAUCUAUGGUUAGCUAAUCUACACCCUUUCUCCAAA